CGUCUCAGUUCGGACUGUGGUCUGCAACCCGACCACACGAAGCUGGAAUCGCUAGUAAUCGCGAAUCAGAAUGUCGCGGUGAAUACGCUCCCGGGUCUUGUACACACCGCCCGUCACACCAUGGGAGUCAGCAACGCCCGAAGUCAGUGACCUAACCGAAAGGGAGGAGCUGCCGAAGGCGGGGCCGGUAACUGGGGUGAAGUCGUAACAAGGUAAC
Molecule: ribosomal RNA, 217 nt
Filed under: uncultured bacterium
Lineage: Bacteria
Description: partial 16S ribosomal RNA
Rfam family: Bacterial small subunit ribosomal RNA
Source: RNAcentral